This 200-nucleotide unclassified non-coding RNA is filed under the name Agaricus sp. RNAcentral describes it as "partial internal transcribed spacer 2". The record is from RNAcentral. Lineage: Eukaryota; Fungi; Basidiomycota; Agaricomycetes; Agaricales; Agaricaceae.
UUAAGUUCAGCGGGUAGUCCUACCUGAUUUGAGGUCAAGUAUUCAAAAAGUUAGUCUCACAAAGUAGAGACAAUUAGAAGCUGAACAACACAGAGAGCAAUCCCCUCGCCAGUGUAGAUAAUUUAUCACACUUGUGGCAGAUCGCAAACGGUUCCGCUAAUGCAUUUCAGAGGAGCUGACCUCAAACGAGCGGCCAGCAA